Mobula hypostoma (lesser devil ray) is the source of this 1436-nucleotide long non-coding RNA. RefSeq lists it as uncharacterized. The transcript is spliced from 4 exons. NCBI's taxonomy places the organism in Eukaryota, Metazoa, Chordata, Chondrichthyes, Myliobatiformes, Myliobatidae. The record is from RefSeq and is a predicted model, not a curated record.
UAAAGUUUCUGAGGAGUAAACAGUAUAGCUAACUUGUCUCAUUCGUCAUCUCCCUUUUCCAGGUAGGAAAAGAAAUACAGAAAAUAAUUGGAAUUUUAAGCGAAUUGGCACAUUCAGUUUCUCAGAAAAACAUUAAGUAUUUUUUUCUGAAGGCUGGUCUCGACCGGGUUUUAAAUCAACCGCUCCUUCUCAGCCAAUGCCCUCACUCACUCCUUCAAUUGUCGCACCUUGGCCGACCUCGAACGUUGUCACAUAUACUGAGAUUCUACUACUUGCCUACAUAGAUGGGACAAGUUACAGUGGACAAUUUAACCUACCAACACCCUUUGGGAUGUAACAGAAAACAGGAGGACCCAGGGCAAAAUCACAGAGUGACAGGGAGAACGUGCAAAUUCCACACAGACAUACCUGAGGUUAGCACUGGACAAGAGUCACUGGAGCUGAGAAGUGAUGGAACUGCUAAAUGUGCCACUAUAUCAUUGCAAGAGGAUGUGGAUAUCUCCGACACUACUGGCAUUUACCCCAGACAGGCACCAAACCGUGGAAGCAGCUAUGAAUCAACCACGUUGUUGGGUGUAGAGUCACAUGCAGACCACUUAGAGUAAAGCAAAAAAUUUAUUUUUCUGAUGGGUUCAUAUUGCAAUCUCAUAGUUCCAUAAUAAGAAUUAUUCUUGAUUUAACUUCUGUAAAUCCUGUGGUAGAAUUCAAAUUCAAGUCCUCAGAUCAAUUACCUGGAUCUUUGGCUUGUACAUUGAUGACACUAGUCCAUUAAUCUAACAUAUUUUGCCGUACCUCAAUUAGACAGAGUUGAAUUGACUUGUAUAAUCAUUCAGAGAAGUUUUGAAUGAUUAUAGCAAUGGGGAAGGUUGAGGGGAUUCAAAAUGUCAUCAAGCACUCUGACAAACUCUUACAGAUGUACUGUAGAAAUAUCCCGACUGUUUGCAUCAUGGUUUGAUUCUAGCAAUUUGAAUGCAUAGGAAAGUAUGAAGCUGCAGAGAGUAGUGGACUCAGCCCGACAUAUCACAUCUCUUGCCAUCAUCGGUAGUAUCUACAUGAGACAUUACCUCAAGAAGGAUCUGUCACCAAAGAUCCCCACCAUUUUAGCCAUGACUUCUUCUCACAGUUACCAUCAGACAAAGAGGUGCAACAGCCUGAAGUCACAUUCCACCAGGUUCAAGAACAGUUACUUUCCUUCAAUCAUUUGGUUCUUGAACAAUUGGCACAACAGCAAUCACUAUCUUAGUACUCCUGUUAUCACUUUGCAAAAAAUUGACUUUUUUGUUCUAGUUGCAUUCUUUCUUAUAAAAAUUGUGUAUAAUUUAUGUUUUAAUUAAUGUUUUUCUUGUGAAUCUUGCUUGUGUAAUACCAUGUGCCUGUGAGACUGCUGAAUUAAGAUGUAUACAUGACAAUAAACUUGAUUUUAACUUUGUUUUCAC